CCCGCCCUUAGAAGUGCUGCAGGUGUGGCUGCUUUGUCACAUGUCAGUCAGUAGGUGGCAGAGAGAAGAGAGGCUAUGUCUAAUCUCAGUGUUUUGACUUAUCAACAUCUGGAUGAUUAGUAGCCUAACGUU
Small nucleolar RNA from Arvicanthis niloticus (Nile rat), 132 nucleotides. RefSeq annotates it as small nucleolar RNA SNORA17. Lineage: Eukaryota; Metazoa; Chordata; Mammalia; Rodentia; Muridae. The record is from RefSeq and is a predicted model, not a curated record.